RNAcentral lists this ribosomal RNA (440 nucleotides) under uncultured bacterium. Its description in RNAcentral is "partial 16S ribosomal RNA". It matches the Rfam family "Bacterial small subunit ribosomal RNA", at positions 338 to 795 of the family's 1533-position model. The record is from RNAcentral.
CCUACGGGAGACAGCAGUAGGGAAUAUUUCUCAAUGGGGGAAACCCUGAAGCAGCAACGCCGCGUGGAGGAUGAAGGUUUUCGGAUUGUAAACUCCUUUUGUUAGAGAAGAUAAUGACGGUAUCUAACGAAUAAGCACCGGCUAACUCCGUGCCAGCAGCCGCGGUAAUACGGAGGGUGCAAGCGUUACUCGGAAUCACUGGGCGUAAAGAGCUCGUAGGCGGGAUAGCAAGUGCGAUGUGAAAUCCUAGGGCUUAACCAUAGAACUGCAUUUGAAACUGUUAUUCUAGAGUAUGGGAGAGGUAGGUGGAAUUCUUGGUGUAGGGGUAAAAUCCGUAGAGAUUAAGAGGAAUACUCAUUGCGAAGGCGACCUGCUAGAACAUAACUGACGCUGAUGCGCGAAAGCGUGGGGAGCAAACGGGAUUAGAUACCCUUGUAGUC